This 643-nucleotide ribosomal RNA is filed under the name uncultured Actinomycetes bacterium. RNAcentral describes it as "bacterial SSU rRNA". It matches the Rfam family "Bacterial small subunit ribosomal RNA", at positions 232 to 885 of the family's 1533-position model. The record is from RNAcentral. Lineage: Bacteria; Bacillati; Actinomycetota; Actinomycetes.
CGCGGCCUAUCAGCUUGUUGGUGGGGUGAUGGCCUACCAAGGCGACGACGGGUAGCCGGCCUGAGAGGGCGACCGGCCACACUGGGACUGAGACACGGCCCAGACUCCUACGGGAGGCAGCAGUGGGGAAUAUUGCGCAAUGGGCGGAAGCCUGACGCAGCGACGCCGCGUGAGGGAUGAAUGCCUUCGGGUUGUAAACCUCUUUCAGCAGGGACGAAGCGAGAGUGACGGUACCUGCAGAAGAAGCACCGGCCAACUACGUGCCAGCAGCCGCGGUAAUACGUAGGGUGCAAGCGUUGUCCGGAAUUAUUGGGCGUAAAGAGCUCGUAGGCGGUCUGUCGCGUCGGCUGUGAAAACUCGGGGCUCAACCCCGAGCCUGCAGUCGAUACGGGCAGACUAGAGUGCUGUAGGGGAGACUGGAAUUCCUGGUGUAGCGGUGAAAUGCGCAGAUAUCAGGAGGAACACCGGUGGCGAAGGCGGGUCUCUGGGCAGUAACUGACGCUGAGGAGCGAAAGCGUGGGGAGCGAACAGGAUUAGAUACCCUGGUAGUCCACGCCGUAAACGGUGGGUGCUAGGUGUGAGCGGUAUUCCACGCCGUUCGUGCCGCAGCUAACGCAUUAAGCACCCCGCCUGGGGAGUACGG